UGAGUAACCCGCCCUUAACUCUGGGAUAAGCCUGGGGAAACUGGGUCUAAUACCGGAUAUGACUCCUCAUCGCAUGGUGGGGGGUGGAAAGCUUUAUUGUGGUUUUGGAUGGACUCGCGGCUUAUCAGCUUGUUGGUGAGGUAAUGGCUCACCAAGGCGACGACGGGUAGCCGGCCUGAGAGGGUGACCGGCCACACUGGGACUGAGACACGGCCCAGACUCCUACGGGAGGCAG
RNAcentral lists this ribosomal RNA (235 nucleotides) under uncultured bacterium. RNAcentral's name for it is "partial 16S ribosomal RNA". It matches the Rfam family "Bacterial small subunit ribosomal RNA", at positions 118 to 351 of the family's 1533-position model. The record is from RNAcentral.